RNAcentral lists this long non-coding RNA (775 nucleotides) under Parus major (Great Tit). Its description in RNAcentral is "lncRNA (ENSPMJG00000001533.1)". The record is from RNAcentral. Lineage: Eukaryota; Metazoa; Chordata; Aves; Passeriformes; Paridae.
GGAAGAGGAGGGAGAGAGCGAGUGAAAGGGGGGAGGAAAAAAAAGACAGGGAAGGAGAGCGGGAGGGAGAGAGAUUGAGAGAGAGCGAGAGAGAGAGAGCGAGAGAGAGGCUGAGAGAGAGAGACUUGGCAAGGGAAAUCUUAUGGGUAUACUGAAACAGCAGAUCAGAAUUGUGAAACCAGAGCUAGGGCUGAAAUGUGAUGCUUUUGCUCUUUUGUGCUUGUUGUGGUUCUCAUCUUCCCAUUUAGAGGGCUGCAUACCAUUCAACAGCAUAUUUUGAUCUCAGAUUGAACAAUGCAGCAAUCAAGCCUGAUAAGCCACCUGGAAGUUUUGCUUGAGACGAUUUCUAGUGGGUUUACUGAUCCCUGUGAGCAUCAUGACUGCCUUUAGCAUUGUGGAGGAGGACUCGAGUUUCUUAUGAGGGCCCCACUUGGAAAAGCCGGCUGUGCAGAUUCAAGCCUCCGGUUCUGUUCAUGCUAUUCAAAAGCCUUUCCUCACCCUUGCUGAUUUAUUUUUAUGAUUUACAUACACUCCUGUGGAGAUUUACAGAAUGGAUUGUCUGUGCAUUGUCACGACCAAGCAGAGCCAUGGCAGAUGCCCAUCUCACAAAUGCUCAGUCGAAACACCUGCCUGGAUACCCAUUCAGCACUCUACCGAGCCAGAAGACCCCAACUUCCAUGAAAUUGAGAAGGCUGGGGAAUAACAAACAGCAACUUGUUCCCACCUCUAUUCCCUACCCAGGAUGAGCUCCUAUGAAACACUCUCACAAAUUGCC